Molecule: ribosomal RNA, 427 nt
Filed under: uncultured bacterium
Lineage: Bacteria
Description: bacterial SSU rRNA
Rfam family: Bacterial small subunit ribosomal RNA
Source: RNAcentral
UAGGGAAUAUUGGACAAUGGGGGCAACCCUGAUCCAGCCAUGCCGCGUGAGUGAAGAAGGCCCUCGGGUUGUAAAGCUCUUUUGUCCGGAAAGAAAAGCAUUCGGUGAAUACCCGGAUGUUCUGACGGUACCGGAAGAAUAAGCACCGGCUAACUUCGUGCCAGCAGCCGCGGUAAUACGAAGGGUGCGAGCGUUAUCCGGAUUUACUGGGUUUAAAGGGUGCGUAGGUGGGCUUAUAAGUCAGUGGUGAAAUCUCCGAGCUUAACUUGGAAACUGCCGUUGAUACUAUAGGUCUUGAAUUAUCUGGAGGUAAGCGGAAUAUGUCAUGUAGCGGUGAAAUGCUUAGAUAUGACAUAGAACACUAAUUGCGAAGGCAGCUUACUACAUAUAAAUUGACGCUGAGGCACGAAAGCGUGGGGAUCAAACA